UACUCCAUUCUGAGUUAAACAGCCAAUUUUAGUACUGCAAAUUGCAAGUGAGAAUCCACUUACAGUUACUGAGGUUUGAUUUUGUUAUUUUAACAUUUGCCUGUGGUACAGGUGCUUUGGGAAGGACCCUCUGCUGCUGGUUCUGAUGCUCCUGGAAUGAUUUCUGUCUGCAAACACCACUAUGUGUCUUGCUGUUGAGAGUUUGCUGCUGGCUUUGAGGUAUGCGUCCAAAAUGAUUGCUCUUCCAAAGAUGAGAAACCUUCUUCACCUGCAUACAGUUAUCAUCAUCCACAGUCUACAUAAUUAAAUUGUAUUCCUUUUUGAGCAGGUGAGAAGUCAGGGAAAACAGGCCAGAAGUGCAAAUGUAUUUAGGGUUCUGUUUUCUGUUGGAGGCAUAUGAAAAACAAUACAAAGCAG
Molecule: long non-coding RNA, 417 nt
Organism: Passer domesticus (house sparrow)
Lineage: Eukaryota; Metazoa; Chordata; Aves; Passeriformes; Passeridae
Exons: 2
Source: RefSeq, a predicted model, not a curated record